Molecule: ribosomal RNA, 200 nt
Filed under: uncultured bacterium
Lineage: Bacteria
Description: partial 16S ribosomal RNA
Rfam family: Bacterial small subunit ribosomal RNA
Source: RNAcentral
AACGAACGCUGGCGGCAGGCUUAACACAUGCAAGUCGAACGCCCCGCAAGGGGAGUGGCAGACGGGUGAGUAACGCGUGGGAAUCUACCGUGCCCUGCGGAAUAGCUCCGGGAAACUGGAAUUAAUACGCAUACGCCCUACGGGGGAAAGGAUUUAUCGGGGUACGAUGAGCCCGCGUUGGAUUAGCUAGUUGGUGGGGU